AUUGAACGCUGGCGGCAGGCCUAACACAUGCAAGUCGAGCGGAUGAAGGGAGCUUGCUCCUGGAUUCAGCGGCGGACGGGUGAGUAAUGCCUAGGAAUCUGCCUGGUAGUGGGGGAUAACGUCCGGAAACGGGCGCUAAUACUGCAUACGUCUUGAGGGAGAAAGUGGGGGAUCUUCGGAACUCACGCUAUCAGAUGAGCCUAGGUCGGAUUAGCUAGUUGGUGGGGUAAAGGCCUACCAAGGCGACGAUCCGUAACUGGUCUGAGAGGAGGAUCAGUCACACUGGAACUGAGACACGUUCCAGACUCCUACGGGAGGCAGCGGUGGGGAAUUUUGAACAAGGUGCGAAAGCCUGAUCCAGCCAUGCCGGGUGUGUGAAGAAGGUCUUCGGAUGGUAAAGCACUUUAAGUUGGGAGGAAAGGCAGUAAGUUAAAACCUUGCUGUUUUGACGUUACCAACAGAAUAAGCACCGGCAAACUUCGU
Molecule: ribosomal RNA, 483 nt
Filed under: uncultured bacterium
Lineage: Bacteria
Description: partial 16S ribosomal RNA
Rfam family: Bacterial small subunit ribosomal RNA
Source: RNAcentral